AGUUUUAUAGUUUAAAUAAAAUAUUAAAUUGCAAAUUUAAAGAUAAAAAUAUUAUUUUUAAAACUU
Molecule: transfer RNA, 66 nt
Filed under: Amara communis
Lineage: Eukaryota; Metazoa; Arthropoda; Insecta; Coleoptera; Carabidae
Description: tRNA-Cys
Source: RNAcentral